This is a non-coding RNA of Pocillopora verrucosa, 356 nucleotides long. Lineage: Eukaryota; Metazoa; Cnidaria; Anthozoa; Scleractinia; Pocilloporidae. The record is from RefSeq and is a predicted model, not a curated record.
CGUGAUCACUGAGCCGUUCGCGUCUCUACGCAUAAAAGCGCGGGAAAGAGUGCUGAUUUCACUUCACUGAUUCAGUCAGGAAUUAAGGAUACAUUACUGAAAGGGUUCACGAUAUCCUAAAUUUGAAACAAUGGUUACCAAGGUGGUGUGUUACUCGUUGUUCUUUGUAGCUACUGUAAUUCUCAUCAGUGCGCAUGCCUCUGCGAAACCAUUCAGCGACGAAGACACAGAGGAUAUCGCUUAUUACACAGAUGACGCCAUAUUAAGCGAUAGUCCACCUAAACUAAGAAUGAACAGGCACGGCAAGCGAGAAUACUCCACGUCCGUCACAAACGACUUCUAUUUAGCUGACAGUA